This 685-nucleotide ribosomal RNA is filed under the name bacterium VII.5. RNAcentral's name for it is "bacterial SSU rRNA". It matches the Rfam family "Bacterial small subunit ribosomal RNA", at positions 75 to 754 of the family's 1533-position model. The record is from RNAcentral.
CUAGCUUGCUAGUUGCUGACGAGCGGCGGACGGGUGCGUAACACGUAGGAAUCUGCCCGGUAGUGGGGGAUAGCCCGGAGAAAUCCGGAUUAAUACCGCAUACGCCCUAAGGGGGAAAGCAGGGGAUCUUCGGACCUUGCGCUAUCGGAUGAGCCUGCGUCGGAUUAGCUUGUUGGUGGGGUAAUGGCCUACCAAGGCAACGAUCCGUAGCUGGUCUGAGAGGAUGAUCAGCCACACUGGGACUGAGACACGGCCCAGACUCCUACGGGAGGCAGCAGUGGGGAAUAUUGCACAAUGGGCGAAAGCCUGAUGCAGCCAUGCCGCGUGUGUGAAGAAGGCUCUAGGGUUGUAAAGCACUUUCAGCGAGGAGGAAAGGGUGUANGUUAAUACCNUGCAUCUGUGACGUUACUCGCAGAAGAAGCACCGGCUAACUCCGUGCCAGCAGCCGCGGUAAUACGGAGGGUGCGAGCGUUAAUCGGAAUUACUGGGCGUAAAGCGUGCGUAGGCGGCUUGUUAAGUUGGAUGUGAAAGCCCCGGGCUCAACCUGGGAACUGCACCCAAAACUGGCAAGCUAGAGUGCGGAAGAAGAGUGUGGAAUUUCCUGUGUAGCGGUGAAAUGCGUAGAUAUAGGAAGGAACACCAGUGGCGAAGGCGACACUCUGGUCUGACACUGACGCUGAGGUAC